GAUCAGUAGGGUUUCUGAGAGGAAGGUCCCCCACAUUGGAACUGAGACACGGUCCAAACUCCUACGGGAGGCAGCAGUGAGGAAUAUUGGUCAAUGGGCGAGAGCCUGAACCAGCCAAGUAGCGUGCGGGAUGACGGCCCUAUGGGUUGUAAACCGCUUUUGAUUGGGAACAAAGAGCGCCACGUGUGGUGCGUUGCGUGUACCUUUCGAAUAAGCAUCGGCUAAUUCCGUGCCAGCAGCCGCGGUAAUACGGAAGAUGCGAGCGUUAUCCGGAUUUAUUGGGUUUAAAGGGAGCGUAGGCGGGCUGUUAAGUCAGCGGUCAAAUGUCAGGGCCCAACCUUGGCAUGCCGUUGAUACUGGCGGCCUUGAGUUCACACAAGGAAGGUGGAAUUCGUCGUGUAGCGGUGAAAUGCUUAGAUAUGACGAAGAACUCCGAUUGCGAAGGCAGCCUUCUGGGGUGUUACUGACGCUGAGGCUCGAAAGUGCGGGAAUCAAACAGGAUUAGAUACCCUGGUAGUCCGCACCGUAAACGAUGAGCGCCCGUCAUUGGCGACACACAGUCAGUGACCAAGGGAAACCGUUAAGCGCUCCACCUGGGGAGUAC
Molecule: ribosomal RNA, 604 nt
Filed under: uncultured bacterium
Lineage: Bacteria
Description: bacterial SSU rRNA
Rfam family: Bacterial small subunit ribosomal RNA
Source: RNAcentral